UUCAUCUUCAUCAUAAUCAAUAUCUCCAAGUUAAAGUUCUUCGUCUUCUGGGCUAUGAAGUAUGAACUGUGAACAUCUUCCUUUCCUGAUUUCUUAGUUCCGAUCUAUCAAAUCCAAUCUCUGAAACAAAUAGUCAAACAUACUAAAAGUCUAAAACUUACCAGUUACAAAUCAUUGCUUCCCAUAAUUAUUGACCCAUUCUAUGGGUUGGACAGCUCUCAUAUGUCUUGUAAGUGUUCCAGUCCCUCCUAAAUUUUCUUCGGUCAAAUGUUGAAAAGUUUCAUUAUAAAAUUUGCACUUAAUACUAUUAGUACCUUCUAUUAUUUCAAAAAAAUUCCAUACCUGACUUCUUCUUUUACGAUUAGAAGUUGGGUCAUUACUAUUACUAGUACUACCAGAAGCUACAGGACUAG
Molecule: long non-coding RNA, 413 nt
Filed under: Nicotiana benthamiana
Lineage: Eukaryota; Viridiplantae; Streptophyta; Magnoliopsida; Solanales; Solanaceae
Description: long non-coding RNA (NBEN_LNC018146)
Source: RNAcentral